RNAcentral lists this ribosomal RNA (484 nucleotides) under uncultured bacterium. Its description in RNAcentral is "partial 16S ribosomal RNA". It matches the Rfam family "Bacterial small subunit ribosomal RNA", at positions 30 to 507 of the family's 1533-position model. The record is from RNAcentral.
AUUGAACGCUGGCGGCAGGCCUAACACAUGCAAGUCGAGCGGAUGAAGGGAGCUUGCUCCUGGAUUCAGCGGCGGACGGGUGAGUAAUGCCUAGGAAUCUGCCUGGUAGUGGGGGAUAACGUCCGGAAACGGGCGCUAAUACCGCAUACGUCCUGAGGGAGAAAGUGGGGGAUCUUCGGACCUCACGCUAUCAGAUGAGCCUAGGUCGGAUUAGCUAGUUGGUGGGGUAAAGGCCUACCAAGGCGACGAUCCGUAACUGGUCUGAGAGGAUGAUCAGUCACACUGGAACUGGGAGACGGUCCAGACUCGUACGGGAGGCAGCAGUGGGGAAUAUUGGACAAUGGGCGAAAGCCUGAUCCAGCCAUGCCGCUUGUGUGAAGAAGGUCUUCGGAUUGUAAAGCACUUUAAGUUGGGAGGAAGGGCAGUAAGUUAAUACCUUGCUGUUUUGCCGUUACCAACAGAAUAAGCACCGGCUAACUUCGUG